AUUAAAUUUGGAACAAAAGUCAAUACUUUAUUGUUUACUGAUAUUUUUAUUUAUAAUAAGAAUUUAAUUUCAUGAAUUCUUGAAAAUCGAGAAUAGUUUGUUAGAUAUAUAGAAGAAGGCAUCUUGGCAACAAGCAGAAUACAUAAAAAUGCGAAGGACUACCAUAAAAACUUCUAUACGGUGGAUUACUAUGCGCUACCUUGAAAAUUAUUGUACAAGCGGAACCCCUUCAAAACAGAAAUGACCAAUGUAACAAAUGUUUUAGUUCAAGCACUGUUGCUAUAAAUUGGACUUAUCAUCCAUUAAACAAGUGUCUUUUAUAGUUUUGGCUAAUAAAUUUUAAAUGUUGUUCUUCAAGUUCAAUUCAGUA
Musca domestica (house fly) is the source of this 370-nucleotide long non-coding RNA. RefSeq lists it as uncharacterized. The transcript has 2 exons. The record is from RefSeq and is a predicted model, not a curated record. Lineage: Eukaryota; Metazoa; Arthropoda; Insecta; Diptera; Muscidae.